Molecule: non-coding RNA, 1230 nt
Organism: Pelobates cultripes (western spadefoot toad)
Lineage: Eukaryota; Metazoa; Chordata; Amphibia; Anura; Pelobatidae
Source: the annotation of a GenBank genome assembly
GGCGUGAGUGGAAAGGAGAAAGGCUAUCAUUGUUUGGAUGGGGAGUCACCUUCCGUAAUUACGAUAGGUACUAACUGUUCUGGCGUUCCUUCCCUUGCUCGUUUUACACCACUGACACCUGGUUGAGGCUCACUGGACCUCUUCUUCACAAAAAAUUUGUCUAUUGAGACUUGCUGUUGCCUAUGUUUUAAAAUGUGUCUGAAGUGAGACAUAGCAUUAUCAUUGAACAUGUUUGUGGCAUGACUUACAGCAGCUUUAUCAUGGUGAUAUUGUUCAACAAAAUAUUGCACUUCAACCCACUUCACACACAUUUCUUUGAUCAAUGCACUAUGAAGAUUUUCCUCUAGAGACAAUUCAUCAGAUGCCCUCUUUUGCUGCUCCCUCUGAAGGUCUUGGAGUUCUUCUGUGGUGAGUUCGUUCUGGUGAUCCUCCACUAACUCCUCCACAUCUUCAUCAUUCACCUCCAAGCCCAUUGAUCUCCCUAGAGACACAAUUUCCUAAACAAGAAGAGCAUCCUGUUCAAACCCCUGAUAGACUGUUUCAGGGAGAGCCUCUGGCCACAAUUUCCUCCAGGCUGAGUUCACAGUCCUAUAAGACACAUCCCCCCAAGCUUUAUCUAUGAGGUGUAAACAAUGUAGGAUAUUAAAAUGAUUUUCUUUACUCUAUUUGAAGACUGAAUGCAACUGCAUUUCAAGACUGAAUUGAACUCUAUUUGAAGACUGAAUGGAGCUGUGCUAACUGAAUGGAGUUCUUCUGACUGGAUGGACCUCUGCUGACUGGAUGGAGCUCUGCUGACUGAAUGUCGCUUUUGCUGGCAGAAUGGAGCUCUAUUUGAAGACUGAAUGAAGCUGUUUGCUGCUAGAAUGGAGCUUUUGCUGGCAGAAUGGAGCUGUGCUGCUGACAGGAUGGAAUGGUGAUGCGCUAUACUAACGAGGUACCAACGGGUUUACCAACAAGAUUACCAUAGAGGUGAAUGCUGCGUAACAACGUGAUGUGUUCGGGUACCGAGGAUCAAUCGCGUACCGAGACAUUUUUCACUCAAAAUUUUUGUUUGAAUACCGAAUUGGUCGUGAACAGGAACUUUCAAGUUCCGAGGUUCCACUGUAUUUGACUGGUGCAGCGGACAAACAUUAACAAUCUAAUCAUAACAAUUACUACUCCAUCACUCUGAAUCUCAAUGUUAAGAAUGGAUUAUAUGCAAUAUAAUAUAAAUAAAGCCAUAUUAAAACA